This 1561-nucleotide long non-coding RNA is filed under the name Vulpes vulpes (red fox). RNAcentral's name for it is "lncRNA (ENSVVUG00000021587.1)". Lineage: Eukaryota; Metazoa; Chordata; Mammalia; Carnivora; Canidae. The record is from RNAcentral.
AGCUCAAACAAGCACUCUGCUGUUAAGCAUUACAGACAUACCAGAGGUGAGUAUAAGUGAAGAAUCCAGAAAUAUUCUAGCUUUAGAGCAAGAAGAAACAAGCUGCCAGCAUGUGUUUGGCUGAGUUACUCUGUAGGCUGAACCUUGGGGCAGGGUAGAGAGAGGGCCAUAUGCCUGCAUGAGCUUGGAAGAAAGAACUCCUGGGUGGUAAGUCUGACAGAAAGAGGAUAACAAUCAUAAUAACAAAAUUGUAUUAAGUGCCUAUGUGCCACGCACAGCACCAAGGGUUUUCUGUGCAUGCUGUCAUUUACUUAUUACAAUCUGGUUAGGAGGCAGUUAUCAAUUCAUUUUAUAGAUGAGGAAACUAGGGAUCAGAGAAGCUAAAGUGACCUGGCCCAGAUUUCAAAGCUGGCACACCAUAGGUACAGGGCUUGGCUUGGGAAUUUGUGUUGUCAGGAUUCUUGGUUGUAAACAACAAAACCCAAUUUGGUUCACUUAAGCAGAAGAGGAACUUACUGGGUAGCUCUGAGGCAGCUCAUAAGGUCAAUGGAAAGAAAGGCUGGGGAUCAAAUUAAAGAAACUCAUAGGAAUUACAGGAGACCGGGUGGCUGGACCCUGCCUAGACAGUAACUUCCUAGGGAUGCCCCUGCAGGACACUGGAGGCUACUGGCCCAGGUACUGGCAGAGUAAUUUCUCCUGUCUUGCCUGUUUCUUUGGGACACCUGCUCCUACAUUCAAAUCAAAACCCCUGUCUGUCUCAGCUGGGAGGAAUCCCUCCCACCUGAAAUCCCACCAGGGAGGUGCCCCUCCCCCCAGGUAAGAAGACUAUUGGAAUGUUACUUAGCAAACAACAAUGACAACAAAAAGCAGGCAUGGGAAUGCCCCAGUCUCCCAGGUCUCCUGGCUACCCCCCAGAGGUGACUAUAACGCCAACAGCUCUCUGCCCUACCUGGGCCUUCUCCAGUAAAACUGGAAGAUACUGCGGUGGCCUACAUGGCCAUGUCACCAACACAAACUGGCUUCUUACUCUGCCCCACCCUUACUGGCCACCUUGCUUGUCCAUACUCUCCUGCCUUAGGGCCUUUGCCCUGUGCUAUUCCUGCGGCCUGGAAGCUCUUCCUCAAGAAAGCCACCAUGCUAUCUCAUUCAAGUCUUCCCUCAGAUGUCACUUUCUCAGGUGAGCUCUGCUUUACCCCGCUGCCCCCCAGCCCCUGAACCUAUACACACUCUCUGCGUCCUACCUUUUCUGGUGUUUUUUUCUUUCCCCCGGGGAGCAUUUAUUACCUCCUAAUGUACUUCUAAUAGUGCUUAUUUACUCCAUAAAUUCCUUAUUUUCAUUAUGAUUUGCUCUCCGCACUAGAAUGUGACUUCCAGCGCAUGGGUGGCUCCGGUGGGUUAAGGUCUGCCUUCCACACGGGUCAUGGUCUCGGAGUCUUGAGAUUCAGCCCCAGUAGGGCUCCCUGCUCAGCGGGGAGUCUGCUUCCCCCUGCCCCUUUGCCCCUGCUCUUGCUCUCUCUCUCCCUAAAAUAAAAUCUUAAAAAAAAAGGGGGGGGGGACUUCC